Molecule: ribosomal RNA, 252 nt
Filed under: uncultured bacterium
Lineage: Bacteria
Description: partial 16S ribosomal RNA
Rfam family: Bacterial small subunit ribosomal RNA
Source: RNAcentral
UUGAACGCUGGCGGCAUGCCUUACACAUGCAAGUCGAACGGUAGAGGGGCAACCCUUGAGAGCGGCGAACGGGUGAGUAAUAUAUCGGAACGUGCCCAGUCGUGGGGGAUAACGCAGCGAAAGCUGCGCUAAUACCGCAUACGAUCUAUGGAUGAAAGCGGGGGAUCGCAAGACCUCGCGCGAUUGGAGCGGCCGAUAUCAGAUUAGGUAGUUGGUGGGGUAAAAGCCCACCAAGCCGACGAUCUGUAGCUG